RNAcentral lists this ribosomal RNA (462 nucleotides) under uncultured prokaryote. RNAcentral's name for it is "partial 16S ribosomal RNA". The record is from RNAcentral.
CCCUACGGGGUGCGGAAAGACACUUCUUGCCCAGACGCUGGCAAAGAUGCUCAACGUUCCCUUUGCUAUGACUGAUGCCACUACGCUUACUGAGGCGGGUUACGUUGGCGAAGACGUUGAAAAUAUACUGCUGCGGCUUCUGCAGGCUGCGGAUUUUGACAUUGCCGCAGCUCAGAGGGGCAUCAUCUACAUCGAUGAGAUCGACAAAAUAUCAAGAAAAUCCGAAUCGGUCUCAAUAACCCGGGACGUCUCCGGAGAAGGAGUGCAGCAGGCUCUCCUCAAGAUAAUAGAGGGCACUGUGGCAAAUAUCCCACCCAAGGGAGGGCGCAAGCAUCCAAGCCAGGAAAUGAUACCUAUGGACACAAGCAACAUCCUCUUCAUCUGCGGAGGGGCAUUUGACGGACUCGAAAAAAUCAUUGCGAAGAGGACGACCCAGAAGUCCCUUGGUUUCGGCGGGAGAGC